AACCUGUGGAUAAAACAAUGAAUAAUUAUGUAGAUAUCUAUAAUAAUUGUUAUCAUUUAUGAAUAUUCAACUUUCGGUGUGGACACUAGUAAUGAGUUGUCUAUCCAACUAGUCACUAACUCAUAUAUCGUGACCUGGAUAUAAUUAUACAGUUCAUUUAGUCUAGAGAGUAGAUUAUCACAAAUGUAUGAGUAGUUGUACUUAAAUGUAAAUAUCUUUUCUAAGAAAUGGUGUUGAUACCCAUGUGUAGAUGAAUGACUGAACUACAACAUAUCCAAAAAUGUUUCCAUGGAAACAUAAGGUGGUGAGUUUGUGGUGAUUAAUAGAACAACAGCAAAUUGUUAUAGUGGGAAUCGGUUAGAGUAAUAAAACGGUAAUCUUGUACAGCUAAGGUCCUAGACUUCAUCACAUAAUUGUUCAAUGGUUUAGGUAUCCUGACCAUCCCUUUAUGGGUCUUAAACGAGCAUGCUGACUAUAAAAGGGGCGUGCCCUGGGCACUCGAGGCGGAAAUGAUUAAAUAUGGCCGCGUGCGGUAAACUCUCUGGCCUCCUUUUGCUUCACUGCUUGCUUCAUGCACACAUGGUUUUACUUUGAUACGCCCCUUAUAGCCUGCAUGUAGCACCUUGGCUCACGAGAUACUUUGUUCAAAAAAGAGCAAAAAAAUGGCUGAAAGAUGUGACAACUCUCGUUCUCUACCCAAGAAGAAGCGUGCUAGGCAUGGUUUUCGGUACCAAAUGGAGCUGAAUUUCGAUACUGAAGAUGCAAUUAAAGCAGGCUUUUGUAGCUAGGAUAGAUAGGGCAAAGCGUUCUCUUGCUGCUACAGCUAGAGGCUCAUUGCCCUUGGACAGCAGAGAGCUUAUUUCUGUUUUGUUGGACAAGUUGGAGCAGGAGCAGGAGCAGGCAGGUGCUGUUCCUGAGAGAGAAGACCUACAAUCUGAUAAAUCCAAAGUCUUCCCAAUGUUGGAGAAUUCAGGAAUAUUUACUGGCAAUACUGACGCUAGUGAUGAACAGUUGUUCGUGUGUGAACUGAAGACUUUGUUCUGUCUUUUCACUGGCCUAUCCCAAGCAUGUGACCAGUGCCAAUCUUAUUGUCGUAGGCCGACCAAUUUUCGCCAGAACGGGCAUGUUGUCCGAUUUGAAUUCAAGUGUGGAAAAUGUGGAAAGUGACAGUGGUGGGCUAGCUCGCGAACACUCGGUGGACGAUACCUUGUCAAUCAAAAGAUCGUCCAUGGUUUUACUUGUGCUGGAGUUCUCCCAAGCCAGUACCUUCACUUUAGUAGUCAUGCUGGCUUGGGAAAAGUUAGUUCAUGGUAUAUUUCGUCAAUGUACAAGAAAGGUGGAUACUUAGACGUCGUGAACGCUUGUGCCAAGGCAUCCAUGUUGAGAGCGAUUGACGAAGUGAAGGCAUUACCUGGUUACUCGCAGGACGGUGAGUGGGUAAUAACAGAUGCUCGCCACGACUCAACAGCAAAUGCUUAUCACACGACUGUUCCCUGCCUCUCGGGAAGUACGAAAAGAAUUGUUGGGUGUUCGACUGUUUCCAGGAAAGAACACAUCUGUGCUCAGACUCGAGAAGUAGCGUGUACUAAGAUAGUUCUUCCGGAAGUCAUAGAUAAAGGUCUCAAUAUUGUUGAAGUAGCGCAUGAUAAUCAGCCUGUAGUCAAGAGAUUUGUCACUGAUGAUCUCAACCUUACAAACUCGUACGACACAUGGCAUGGCACUAAGAAUGUAGCGAAGAAUAUGAAGAAAGUAGCAAUUGGGACCAAAAAGGCUCAAGGAAAGACGUGGUUUCCAGAGUUAUCUGACAAGCGUAAAAGUACGAAAGUUCACUUGUACUACUGUAUGAAGAACUGUGAGCAGUCAGCAGACAAUCUAAGAAAGAACAUUCUGAAUAUCGUUAAACAUUUUCAGAACGAGCACUCAGAUUGUAACGAAGCGUCACCCUGUAAGCGUCCAGGGUACAAGCCCACGAAGAUAAAACUAGAGGAUCCUCUUGCAAUCGAGUCAUUCACGUCAGCACUAAAAGACACCCUUAUUUACAAGAAUGCCGAAUCAUAUUGUCGAUGUCGAGACACAUUCUGGGUGGAGUCUUUCAAUCACCAGCUGCUCACAUACAUCUCAAAACGUGUACACUUCGGGGAAGCUACAUUCAACAUGAGAAUGGACCUUGCUAUUAUGGACUGGAACGAGAAUGUACGUAGAGAGUGUACAAGUGAACGACUGGUUCAGGACAUGAAAAGACCGGAUCGUAGGACUCCCAUGAGAGUGCUGAAGGAAAAAUCGUUCAACUUUGCCGAAGAAAUAUGGGAGAAUUACGAGCAGCAGAGAAAAGUUGACCUCAGUGAGUUUGUAGAGGACGUGCAACCUGAGCAAUCAGAUGAGCCAGUAGAUGAAAACGAGGACCUAGUAAACGAUGGUGUACAUGUACUUGACGAAGAUCUUUAUGAAGACAUAUAAAGAAGUAGAAGACUGGAAGUCUGUGUAUGGAACUCCAUAUCUGGAUUCGGAAAUCGUUCACGCACCUCCUGGAAAAGGUGCAGCGCUUCCAAUCAGCCAGCUGGGUGGUCUGGCUCUGACACACGGUGACAGGUGGCAGUACGGGCAGGGACCCUCUCCGUUCAAGACCGGAGGAUCAACGUGAUCAUACCCUCCGGGACCUAAGGAAAGUACCACUCAUUUUAUUCAUAUGUACAGGUUAGUGACAUUCACCUUUCUUAGGCCUCGAAGGACCGGCUUCACCCCCAACCGUCCUUACUCGAGAAACACCUGUGCAAAAGAUAAGUGAUCGUCAUCCAUAUCACGUGAUAAUUAUUGAAAUUAAUUCCUCUAGAAUUACCUCUCUUUGGCCUCUUCACUGGAGGGGGAGCAGCUUCACCACUGGCACUGGAUGUAUUACUGCUUGACACUGAUGUGUUACCUUCGGAUGGCGCCGAAUCAAUUUCGUCAAGAGUGACGUCGGGAAACAGCGCAAGCAACUUCUGGAACUCCUCCAGAAAGUGCACUGGAGGAUGCUGGCUGUACCGUACCUGAAACUGAAUAGAUGUACAUUUUAUCUUCUUUCUUAUUUAUGUAAUGGGCUUCUGUGGUACCUUGAGUCUUGCUUGCGCUUGUUCUGUAUAAGUAGCCAUUAUGUGUUUUUUGUUUG
RNA transcript from Halichondria panicea, 3145 nucleotides. RefSeq lists it as uncharacterized. The record is from RefSeq and is a predicted model, not a curated record. The transcript has 17 exons. NCBI's taxonomy places the organism in Eukaryota, Metazoa, Porifera, Demospongiae, Suberitida, Halichondriidae.